This 504-nucleotide ribosomal RNA is filed under the name uncultured bacterium. RNAcentral describes it as "bacterial SSU rRNA". It matches the Rfam family "Bacterial small subunit ribosomal RNA", at positions 791 to 1299 of the family's 1533-position model. The record is from RNAcentral.
UAGUCCACGCCGUAAACGAUGGAUACUAGCUGUUCGGUUUUCGGACUGAGUGGCUAAGCGAAAGUGAUAAGUAUCCCACCUGGGGAGUACGUUCGCAAGAUUGGAACUCAAAGGAAUUGACGGGAGCUUACUACUAGUGGUGGAGCAUGUGGUUUAAUUCGAUGAUACGCGAGGAACCUUACCAGGGCUUAAAUGUAGAUUGACAGGUUUAGAGAUAGACUUUUCUUCGGAACACAAAGCAAGGUGCUGCAUGGUUGUCGUCAGCUCGUGCCGUGAGGUGUCAGGUUAAGUCCUAUAACGAGCGCAACCCCUGUUGUUAGUUGCCAGCGAGUAAUGUCGGGAACUCUAGCAAGACUGCCGGUGCAAACCGCGAGGAAGGUGGGGAUGACGUCAAAUCAUCACGGCCCUUACGUCCUGGGCCACACACGUGCUACAAUGGUAGGUACAGAGAGCAGCCACUGCGCGAGCAGGAGCGAAUCUAUAAAACCUAUCUCAGUUCGGAUC